UCUUGGUCUCUUGCUCCUCUCUAAGCUUUUCUCCCUUUUUCCAAAAGUUUUCACGUACAAUCAGUUUUUCUAAAACUAGGUCUAGCCUUUUUAUAUCCUCUCUCAAUUACUUAUCUUAUUUCACUUUCUCCCCCAAAACUAUCUAAAAUAUCAAAACAGCCCUCAACUAAAUAUUUUAUAUUAUUUUCAAAUCUUUAUU
This 199-nucleotide long non-coding RNA is filed under the name Medicago truncatula (barrel medic). RNAcentral describes it as "long non-coding RNA (MTRU_LNC003934)". Lineage: Eukaryota; Viridiplantae; Streptophyta; Magnoliopsida; Fabales; Fabaceae. The record is from RNAcentral.